GACAGAGGUGCCGAGCGUUAGGCGGAAUCACUGGGCUUAAAGCGUGUGUAGGCGGGCGGGCAAGUACCUUGUGAAAUCCCACGGCUCAACCGUGGAACGGCUGGGUAUACUGCCUGUCUUGAGCCAACUAGGGGCGAGCGGAACAGACGGUGGAGCGGUGAAAUGCGUAGAUAUCGUCUGGAACGCCGAAGGUGAAAACAGCUCGCUGGGGUUGUGCUGACGCUGGAGACACGAAAGCCAGGGGAGCGAACGGGG
This 255-nucleotide ribosomal RNA is filed under the name uncultured bacterium. RNAcentral describes it as "partial 16S ribosomal RNA". It matches the Rfam family "Bacterial small subunit ribosomal RNA", at positions 524 to 777 of the family's 1533-position model. The record is from RNAcentral.